UCUAUUUGUAUUAGUUUCUAUUAAAUUAGGUUUUUUUGUAAAAUUAGGAAUCUUGUAUAUAAAUAGCCAUAUGUACAAAGUCAUUGAUACAUAAUGGCACUUGGGACAGAUAGAGCUUCCUUGUUGAGGGUAAAUAUGGCCAAGAACCUAGCAAUUAGACUACUACUUUAGCUAUCUUGAGACUUGUCUAAGUUGGGGGCUAUAUUUGUAGCAUUUGAGGUGGCAAAUGUGAGAAGUGUAAUGAUGAUAUUCAGUGAUUUGAUAACUUAUUGUAGGAAGUUUCUUGUUAAAAUCUCUUAAAGUUUUAAGUCAUUCUAAAGGCAGAAAUAUUUCCCAGACCUCUAUCCAAAUGAGAGUAGGGUUUGAUUUCCCCUCAGCACUCUAGGGAUUAGAGUCACUUCUUGAGUAUUUCACUCGGUUGGGAUUGAUUAGGUUUGUCUUUAGAAGGAAGUCUCUCAAAUCGGACGGUCUUUGGAAAGAGGUAUCUCAAAUUAGACCUUCAAGUGCCUGUGUAAGCCAAUGGAAUGUGACAUGUGUUGAUAUUCCAGUGAUCAUCCUAUUUUGUGUAAUAUCACUUACCAUUGAGCUCCACGUGGUGACUUAAAAAUGAAUUAACUUUUGUAGUUUCAACAAUCUCUCCUGUGAAAAAAUCAUUGAAACAACAAUCUUUUGGUUGUUUUAAGGGAAACUUUUCUCAUUCAGCCUUGCCUUCCAUCUGUGCGUGCAUGUCAACACCGUCAUUAAUUAUACAUGUCUAUUGUUUGGUGGAUGCAAUUGUUACCAAUUCAAAGAUUCAUGGACCAAAUUUAUAAAAUUGAAAAAUGGAUGCAAAAUUAGGACAUUUGAGAUCAUUAGGCUAAGAAAAAACUGAAGUUUUCACAAUUAUGAUUUGAAUCAAAAUAUUUCCAUCGAGUGGUCAGAGGAAAAUUAACAUUGGAGCUUCAAUUAGUGCCUUUAGACAGGAAAUGCAAAUGUCUCAAAUGCAUUAUGAAACAAUUCAUGGGUAGAUGUUAUUGUUCUCUC
This 1023-nucleotide unclassified non-coding RNA is filed under the name Hevea brasiliensis (rubber tree). Lineage: Eukaryota; Viridiplantae; Streptophyta; Magnoliopsida; Malpighiales; Euphorbiaceae. The record is from RNAcentral.